Molecule: transfer RNA, 89 nt
Filed under: Candidatus Dojkabacteria bacterium
Lineage: Bacteria
Description: tRNA-Ser
Rfam family: tRNA
About the family: Transfer RNA (tRNA) molecules are approximately 80 nucleotides in length. Their secondary structure includes four short double-helical elements and three loops (D, anti-codon, and T loops).
Source: RNAcentral
GGAGGGAUGCCUGAGUGGUCGAAAGGGAAGCACUCGAAAUGCUUUGUCUCAUUUAUUUGGGACCGGGGGUUCGAAUCCCUCUCCCUCCG